RNAcentral lists this small RNA (117 nucleotides) under Pongo abelii (Sumatran orangutan). Its description in RNAcentral is "Metazoan signal recognition particle RNA (ENSPPYG00000040800.1)". Lineage: Eukaryota; Metazoa; Chordata; Mammalia; Primates; Hominidae. The record is from Rfam by way of RNAcentral.
GUCAGGUGUGGUGGCUCACAUCUGUAAUCCUAGCACUUUGGGAGGCUGAGGCGGGAGGAUCACUUGAGCCCAGGAGUUCCAGACCAGCCUGGGUAACAAAGUGAGACCCCGCCUCUA